AGUGGUGUCGCCGUGGACGACUGUCGACGACAGAUGGCGUCAAAAAGGCUUCGGUCAAACGUUGACGUAGUGGGCGGCAUCAACGAGUUACUGAACCUUCCGGUCCGCUCUCCGCCGCACGGGGAGGAACGCCUCGACACUACAUCGUUCAGUUGUCAGCCGAACUCGUUCGUGCGAGUCACAGAGACCGACGAUAUGCGCCCUUCUGCGUUGAAGCGCCUUCGGACCUCUGAAUCGUCCGCUGGUGUGUCGUCCCGCAGCCCCAGCUCCGCCUCGCCUUCCUCGCCACGCACGACGAGUGACAGCGUCGGCGGCGAUGAACUCGACCUGCUGCGGCGCAAAGACGAGGAAGUGGCCGACAUGGCGCUCUUUCUCGCGAAAACCGUCGGUGAGACGUCGUCGCGGCACUCCCUCGCGGAGCUUGUAGGCCUUCUCGUCCGUAGCGGUGUGCCGCGUGUGGCGUUGGCAUUGAAGCGAGUGGGCGCGCAGACGACCUUUGUGGGCAAUCUGCAUCAGGCGACUUCGUUCACGGGCAAUGAGCGCCGAAUCGCCGUUGCUCUCUUUUCCAGUCUCAUGACCCACGUCGACGCGGAGGCGCUGUUCCAGAAGUGCGUGGUGACGUUUCUCGUCAAGUCUUUGACUCUGGCGGACUGGCAAGAAGCCUCACCUGCUCUUGCGCACCGCAUCGCAUCGCAUUGGUCGGCGCGCCGGAAGCAGAAAGGAACGGCACAGCAACCGCCAUCCGGCAACUCAUGCGGCGUGGCAGACGGCCUCGAGAGCCAAGUAGCGAAGCUGUGCGGGGGUGUAGCGGAGAGCUCUGGAAGCUAUGAAGACAAAAGCUGCGCCUCACUCGCCCUCCGCUCGCUCCUGACAAUCAUGUUCGCCUACAAUACGAGCCCUCACAUCGCUGCCUCGCGACAUCUCUCCGUGCCGCUCCUCUUCGCCAACGCCGGUGGGCUUCAGCAACUAGGCAAGCUUUUGAGCAGCAGGGAGAUGCAAGAGCAUGCGCUGGCGCUGCUAGAGGUCCUGACAGCAACAGAGGAGCUCAGUCUGCAGAAUGACGGACUUUUGGAGCUUGUGCCUACGCUUGUAGCGCAGCUGCGCACGAGUGCGGUUGAAGUACCCGUACUCAAGGUUCUCACGAACAUCACGAACAUCCUGCCGCACGCCCUUUCAGCGACCGGCACUGUGAAGCCAUUCACGCAAUUUGCGCUUGAGACCCUUUCACGUUCGCGGGCGCUCAGCACUCCUGACGAGACCGAAAUCUUCGCCCUUUGCUGCGCCAUCAACGUGGUAAAGUACGAGUCGAAGGAGAAGGAGUCUCCGGAGGCAGAGCUUGCCUCGGCCCUUGUUGCUUCGCAGGAUACGCUGAUGUCCCUCGCAUGCGUGAUGAUGGAGAGCUACCGGUGCAGCAGUACGGAGCAGCUGGUACGCAGUGGCUAUUACGCACUUCUGCUAGGUGCACUCUCGUUGGUGCCUGUUGCCGAAGAAGAAGGUAGCACCACGUUGCGUGUGCCCGUGAUGACGGCUGUGGCUAGGGUGUCGGAUGGCCAUUCCGUUGGGCUUACGGCGGGCCACCAACCCAUGCGCAUUGUUGUCGCCAUCAUUCAAGAGUUCCUCUUGUUUCAGAGCUCGGCGGGGACGCUGACAAAGGAGGCGGUGCUGGAGAUGAAGGCGCUGGUGGACCGCAUUCUCAGCAGCAAUCACAUCGACGUUGCUUCGCACGGUGACCGCGGAACCACUACUGCGGAAACCAUCACCGCGGUGUCGACGGACAAGGACGACGACCUCGUUCUGGGCCAACUGCUUUAGCGUCCCCGUUGACACAGCACAUCUUAGGUAGCGUCGAAGAGAUCGAUGGGUGUUCUCCUGAGAUAACCUGAACAGGAACUGAAAAGUCGCAGCAACGGUGUGCGCAUUGAUUGGUGCUUGCGCGUGUGCGUUAUUUCUU
Molecule: unclassified non-coding RNA, 1951 nt
Filed under: Leishmania donovani
Lineage: Eukaryota; Euglenozoa; Kinetoplastea; Trypanosomatida; Trypanosomatidae
Description: gene:LdHU3.34.6390(CDS-product:hypothetical_prote in_conserved)
Source: RNAcentral